Non-coding RNA from Octodon degus (degu), 72 nucleotides. Lineage: Eukaryota; Metazoa; Chordata; Mammalia; Rodentia; Octodontidae. The record is from the annotation of a RefSeq genome assembly.
GGGGGUGUGGCUCAGUGGUAGAGCUUUUGCCUCAUAUGCACAAAGCCCUGGGUUCGAGUCCAAGCACCACCA